Molecule: long non-coding RNA, 516 nt
Organism: Rosa rugosa (rugosa rose)
Lineage: Eukaryota; Viridiplantae; Streptophyta; Magnoliopsida; Rosales; Rosaceae
Exons: 3
Source: RefSeq, a predicted model, not a curated record
UCUCCAGAAGGAAUCGAAGCGUUUCGUUGAAGUUUUUACGUCGAAACUCAAGCUCGCCGGAUUCUGGAAUUUUUCCGACCACCGAAGCUUUCGAUCGGUAUAUCUCGAGCUACAGACCAUAUUUUUCUGUGAUUCUUGAACCAAUGAGUUCACCUUGAGUUUCUUAACAACUCUCUAGAAGGGAUCGAAGCCUGAAAUUGAAGUUUUGACGUCGAAAUCAAGCCUUGCCGGAUUCUGCAAAUUUCGCCGGAUUCUGGAAAUUUUCCGGCCACCUCGACUGUUUUAGGUGAUUGACGGUCUCCCUUGGGUGAACGAUUUCGGUGUGUAUUGUGUUGAAUUGAAGACGCAGCGGGAAUAUCGAGCGGGUAAUCCUGCAGGUCAGGAGAAUCAGGGCGGUGAUCGAGCGGGUUAGAGUAUUUGUUAUAGUUUUACAGCAUUUGUAAUAGUGAGGUGAGUUAAGCUCAUUGAGCCUUACAAUUUGAUUUGGUGAGAGUGUGUUGUAAUAAUUAACUUGAG